This 432-nucleotide ribosomal RNA is filed under the name uncultured bacterium. RNAcentral describes it as "bacterial SSU rRNA". It matches the Rfam family "Bacterial small subunit ribosomal RNA", at positions 954 to 1392 of the family's 1533-position model. The record is from RNAcentral.
GCAUAACGCGAAGAACCUUACCGAGGCUUGACAUCCCAGGAAGUCAGUCGAAAGACAGAUGUGCCUUCGGGAACCUGGUGACAGGUGCUGCAUGGCUGUCGUCAGCUCGUGUCGUGAGAUGUUGGGUUAAGUCCCGCAACGAGCGCAACCCUUGCCAUCAGUUGCUACGAAAGGGCACUCUGAUGGGACUGCCGGUGACAAACCGGAGGAAGGUGGGGAUGACGUCAAGUCCUCAUGGCCCUUAUAGGUGGGGCUACACACGUCAUACAAUGGCCGGUACAAAGGGCAGCGAAGCCGCGAGGUGAAGCCAAUCCCAUAAAGCCGGUCGUAGUCCGGAUUGCACUCUGCAACUCGAGUGCAUGAAGUCGGAAUCGCUAGUAAUCGUGGAUCAGCAUGUCACGGUGAAUACGUUCCCGGGUCUUGUACACACCG